GACGAACGCUGGCGGCGUGCUUAACACAUGCAAGUCGAACGGAAAGGCCCUGCUUUUGUGGGGUGCUCGAGUGGCGAACGGGUGAGUAACACGUGAGUAACCUGCCCUUGACUUUGGGAUAACUUCAGGAAACUGGGGCUAAUACCGGAUAGGAGCUCCUGCUGCAUGGUGGGGGUUGGAAAGUUUCGGCGGUUGGGGAUGGACUCGCGGCUUAUCAGCUUGUUGGUGGGGUAGUGGCUUACCAAGGCUUUGACGGGUAGCCGGCCUGAGAGGGUGACCGGCCACAUUGGGACUGAGAUACGGACCAGACUCCUACGGGAGGCAGCAUCGGGGAAUAUUGCACAAUGGGCGGAAGCCUGAUGCAGCAACGCCGCGUGCGGGAUGACGGCCUUCGGGUUGUAAACCGCUUUCGCCUGUGACGAAGCGUGAGUGACGGUAAUGGGUAAAGAAGCACCGGCUAACUACGUG
This 468-nucleotide ribosomal RNA is filed under the name uncultured bacterium. RNAcentral's name for it is "partial 16S ribosomal RNA". It matches the Rfam family "Bacterial small subunit ribosomal RNA", at positions 28 to 507 of the family's 1533-position model. The record is from RNAcentral.